GACGAACGCUGGCGGCGUGCUUAACACAUGCAAGUCGAACGGAAAGGCCCUGCUUUUGUGGGGUGCUCGAGUGGCGAACGGGUGAGUAACACGUGAGUAACCUGCCCUUGACUUUGGGAUAACUUCAGGAAACUGGGGCUAAUACCGGAUAGGAGCUCCUGCUGCAUGGUGGGGGUUGGAAAGUUUCGGCGGUUGGGGAUGGACUCGCGGCUUAUCAGCUUGUUGGUGGGGUAGUGGCUUACCAAGGCUUUGACGGGUAGCCGGCCUGAGAGGGUGACCGGCCACAUUGGGACUGAGAUACGGCCCAGACUCCUACGGGAGGCAGCAGUGGGGAAUAUUGCACAAUGGGCGGAAGCCUGAUGCAGCAACGCCGCGUGCGGGAUGACGGCCUUCGGGUUGUAAACCGCUUUCGCCUGUGACGAAGCGUGAGUGACGGUAAUGGGUAAAGAAGCACCGGCUAACUACGUGCCAGCAGCCGCGGUGAUACGUAGGGUGCGAGCGUUGUCCGGAUUUAUUGGGCGUAAAGGGCUCGUAGGUGGUUGAUCGCGUCGGAA
Molecule: ribosomal RNA, 554 nt
Filed under: uncultured Propionibacterium sp.
Lineage: Bacteria; Bacillati; Actinomycetota; Actinomycetes; Propionibacteriales; Propionibacteriaceae
Description: bacterial SSU rRNA
Rfam family: Bacterial small subunit ribosomal RNA
Source: RNAcentral